AGCGAACGCUAGCGGGUGGCUUAACACAUGCAAGUCGAGCGGUCUUCGGACAGCGGCGGACGGGUGAGUAACACGUAGGAUAUCUGCCUUUAGGUGAGGGAUAGCCAGGGGAAACCCUGAUUAAUACCACAUGUGGCCCACGGGUCAAAGACUUCGGUCGCCUAGAGAUGAGCCUGCGGCCCAUUAUUUAGUCCUUGUUGGUGGGGUAAUGGCCUACCAAGGGUACGAUGGGUAGCUGGUCUGAGAGGACGAUCAGCCACACUGGGACUGAGACACGGCCCAG
This 283-nucleotide ribosomal RNA is filed under the name uncultured bacterium. RNAcentral describes it as "partial 16S ribosomal RNA". It matches the Rfam family "Bacterial small subunit ribosomal RNA", at positions 29 to 334 of the family's 1533-position model. The record is from RNAcentral.